AACACAGCAGUGUGGAAUUUAGUGAAUUAUAAAAUAUGUAUAUAUUAUAAAAUAUUAUAAUAUAAUGUGGGAUUAUAGGAACUUGUGCAAUGUCUCUCAACCAUUCACAAUGUGCAGAUUUAACUAAGUGUUGUAAAAUUAAGUAUGUGGUAAAUGUGUAUUAUAUUUUUUAUCAAUUUUUUGUUCCAAGGGCGUUUUGACUUGCAUCAGCCACUGUAUGAAUGUCAAACAUGCCAGCAGCAAUGGACCCCUGACUUUAAAGACCUCCUAAGAAGUGGAUAUUGGCCAGCCUCCGUCACCAAUUCCACACUUUAUACACUGGACCUCUUGAGCUCCCUUCAGGAACUCAAGAUCAUAUCUCCGGGAUCCUCCAGACAAGCCUUCGCAAAGCUGCUGGAGCAUCGCACUAAGUGUGGAGGAAGAUCUGGACCUAUCAACGGCGAUGCACUGCAGCGCAGCUUUUUAGAGCUUUCAUAUGCAUCAUUUGAGGAAGACCAGCUCUGCUGUAGUGCUUCUUUCACCUGCCCAGCCUGCACACCAGAAAUGUUGGCUGUUUCAGCAGAUGGAAAUAGAAAGCUAUAUCGCUUUCGCCGAAAUGGAAGCUCUGAUGAUCCUGGCUUUUUUGAGGGGCUCUUUGUGGCUGAAGACAGUGCAGUGUCUACAUUUGUUAACACCAUACAGAAAGCAGUAAAAAAUGCAAGUUGA
Molecule: long non-coding RNA, 705 nt
Organism: Cyprinus carpio (common carp)
Lineage: Eukaryota; Metazoa; Chordata; Actinopteri; Cypriniformes; Cyprinidae
Source: Ensembl